Non-coding RNA from Meriones unguiculatus (Mongolian gerbil), 544 nucleotides. Lineage: Eukaryota; Metazoa; Chordata; Mammalia; Rodentia; Muridae. The record is from the annotation of a RefSeq genome assembly.
GGGGAGCAAGAUGAAGUCACAAUCCCAGGGCCUCAUAUCCCUGCUGCUUUUGGUAUCUGGUGCCUGUGCAGACAUCAUGAUGACUCAGUCUCCAUCCUCCCUGGCUGUGUCAGAGGGAGAGAAAGUCUCCAUCAGCUGCAGGUCCAGCCAGAGUCUUUUCGACAGUACAGACCAAAAGAACUACUUGGCCUGCUAUCAGCAAAAACCAGGGCAAUCCCCUAAGCUGCUGAUAUACUGGGCAUCCACUCAGGACACUGGAGUCCCUGAUCGCUUCACAGGCAGUGGAUCUGGGACAGAUUACACUCUCAGCAUCAGCAGUGUAAAGGCUGAAGACCUGGCAGUUUAUUACUGUCUGCAGACUUACAGUGAUCCUCCCACAGUGCUUCAGCCUCCAACACAAACCUUCUUGAAAGUCUCACAAGCUGCCUGCAGCACACACAGCCCUGGCCCCACACACUUCCCCCUUCUGCAUGACAGCAGGUGUGCCUGUAAACAUGAUGAAGAAGUACAGCCCCUUACAAAAUUAUGGAUCCAAUCAUACUGA